UACGUAGGGUGCAAGCGUUAAUCGGAAUUACUGGGCGUAAAGCGUGCGCAGGCGGUUUUGUAAGUUUGUCGUGAAAGCCCCGGGCUCAACCUGGGAAUGGCGAUGAAGACUGCAAGGCUUGAAUCUGGCAGAGGGGGGUAGAAUUCCACGUGUAGCAGUGAAAUGCGUAGAGAUGUGGAGGAACACCGAUGGCGAAGGCAGCCCCCUGGGAUAACACUGACGCUCAUGCACGAAAGCGUGGGGAGCAAACAGG
Molecule: ribosomal RNA, 253 nt
Filed under: uncultured bacterium
Lineage: Bacteria
Description: partial 16S ribosomal RNA
Rfam family: Bacterial small subunit ribosomal RNA
Source: RNAcentral